This 610-nucleotide ribosomal RNA is filed under the name Phlegmacium praestans. Its description in RNAcentral is "eukaryotic LSU rRNA". The stretch from base 243 to 396 matches the Rfam family "5.8S ribosomal RNA". The record is from RNAcentral. Lineage: Eukaryota; Fungi; Basidiomycota; Agaricomycetes; Agaricales; Cortinariaceae.
CAUUAUUGAAAUAAAUCUGAUGAGUUGCUGCUGGCUCUCUGUUAGAGGGCAUGUGCACACUUGUCAUCUUUAUAUCUCCACCUGUGCACCUUUUGUAGACCUGGAUAUCUCUCUGAAUGCUAGUCACUCAGGUUUGAGGAUUGAUCUUUAUGAUCUUUCCUUAUAUUUCUAGGCCUAUGUUUCUUCAUAUACCCAUGUAUGUCGUAGAAUGUAAUAAAGGCCUUUGUGCCUAUAACUUAUACAACUUUCAGCAACGGAUCUCUUGGCUCUCGCAUCGAUGAAGAACGCAGCGAAAUGCGAUAAGUAAUGUGAAUUGCAGAAUUCAGUGAAUCAUCGAAUCUUUGAACGCACCUUGCGCUCCUUGGUAUUCCGAGGAGCAUGCCUGUUUGAGUGUCAUUAAUAUAUCAAUCUCUUCAGCUUUUGCUUGUUGAGUGUUGGAUGUGGGGGUCUUUUGUUGGUCUUCUCAGGUCAGCUCCCCUGAAAUACAUUAGUGGAACAAUUUUGUGGACCGUUCAUUGGCGUGAUAACUAUCUACGCUAUUGACGUGAAGCAGUUCAGCUUUCUAACAGUCCAUUGACUUGGACAAGUUCUUAUUAAUGUGACCUCAAAU